AGUGAACGCUGGCGGUAGGCCUAACACAUGCAAGUCGAACGGCAGCACAGUAAGAGCUUGCUCUUACGGGUGGCGAGUGGCGGACGGGUGAGGAAUACAUCGGAAUCUACUUUUUCGUGGGGGAUAACGUAGGGAAACUUACGCUAAUACCGCAUACGACCUACGGGUGAAAGCAGGGGAUCUUCGGACCUUGCGCGAUUGAAUGAGCCGAUGUCGGAUUAGCUAGUUGGCGGGGUAAAGGCCCACCAAGGCGACGAUCCGUAGCUGGUCUGAGAGGAUGAUCGGCCACACUGGAACUGAGACACGGUCCAGACUCCUACGGGAGGCAGCAGUGGGGAAUAUUGGACAAUGGGCGAAAGCCUGAUCCAGCCAUACCGCGUGAGUGAAGAAGGCCUUCGGGUUGUAAAGCCCUUUUGUUGGGAAAGAAAAGCAGCAGAUGAAUACCCCGCUGUUCUGACGGUACCCAAAGAAUAAGCACCGGCUAACUUCGUG
Molecule: ribosomal RNA, 492 nt
Filed under: uncultured bacterium
Lineage: Bacteria
Description: partial 16S ribosomal RNA
Rfam family: Bacterial small subunit ribosomal RNA
Source: RNAcentral